GACCUAUUGACAAUCUUGUGGUUCCUCAUGUACCAAACAAUUGAAAAUGAACUUCCUAAAAAUAUUAGCUUCAUGGUAGUAUUGUAGAGGGAAAUGAAAUCUGUAAAUAUAUCCAAAUAGCGAGCAGCGAAAACAAUAGCAUAGAGUUCUUGAGUCUUCAAAGAAAUUCCAGCGCAGGAUUUGAUGGUGUGGAUCUUGAGGAGCAAUACGAGAACGCUGACAAGGUGAGUCAUAUCACCUGCUAAUCUGAAUAUAUUCAUCUUCUUCGAGAUUCGAUCUACUAAUCUCUCAAAGGCAAAAAAAUUGAAUGAAAUGGAUAAAACUAUUCCCGAAUCUCUAAGAAAUUCAGCUUGAGUUCAGCUUCCUUGUUCGCAGUUUAGCAGAGAAGCAGAAAG
RNAcentral lists this unclassified non-coding RNA (395 nucleotides) under Hevea brasiliensis (rubber tree). Lineage: Eukaryota; Viridiplantae; Streptophyta; Magnoliopsida; Malpighiales; Euphorbiaceae. The record is from RNAcentral.